Leptonychotes weddellii (Weddell seal) is the source of this 1772-nucleotide non-coding RNA. The record is from RefSeq and is a predicted model, not a curated record. Lineage: Eukaryota; Metazoa; Chordata; Mammalia; Carnivora; Phocidae.
GGAGUAGCAGGUGUGGGCAGGCGGGCAUGGCGCGGUGGCCCCCCGGUGGACCCGCGGGCUGAGAGUGAACGCAUCCUCUCCCACGUUGUUGCCGGCGGCAGUCGCCCUGGGGGCUUCCCACCGGAUCGGAUCCGGGCUGUCCCCAGCCCUGCACCAUGUUGAGGGGUCAGACAGCGUCCCAAGAGCCUGCCCUGCCAUGUCACGCACCAGCACUCCUGAUUCACAUGAACUGAUUCCUUACUGAGCACCAGCCGCUGGACCAACUGUCUCCAUGCAGGAUUUGUUGGAUUCUCACUACAACCCUGUGAGCCAGAUCAUGACCAGCUAGCUACCACUUGGAAGAAUGAGUGACAGGAUCGAGUGUGAACUGAAGGAGGAGCUGUCUGUGCUUCACCAGGGACACAUCGGCAUCCACUUUUACACUCCAAAGCCUGCGAACCGUAAACAACCUGCAACUCUGCCUCCCAGCCAGGCCAUUCUUCUGGAUACUGGAGGGAGCACAGCUGGACUAGGCACGGCAAAAGCAGAGGUGCUGGAGAGAAAAUGCCCCUGGAAGCAGCCAGUGUGCAAAGACAGGCGCUGAGACCACUCUGAGAGAAAUUCCCCCGGUUCCAGGACCUUCGAUUUGGCUCAGGACCUGGUGUUGUCCUCAACUUCCGCUCUGGCUGAGCAGUCAGCCGGCUGGACCCAGAACUGAAUGAUGGCCUUUUCCCCAGGGGAGCAGCUCACUUGCGGUGAGGGAUAGCUGAGGUUCGUGGGGGCAAGCAUCUCAACGCAGAAAGCCCCGGCUGAAACUCGUGGCCUUGCCCUCCAGAAUGGAUGCUCUGAUGUACCCCGUCUGUCGAGUUUCCCAGAUCAGCACAUCCAUCCUCUCCCUGGUCGCAUGACGCCCUCAGAGUCUCUCCAAGGAAAUGGCCAGUGAGUGACCCCAGCCCCAGGAAGCCCUGAAUACCUGACUGACACCUCUGGAUGACUGUCCUCUUCGGAUCUCAGCCCACUAAUGACUCAAGAUCUUGUCAGCUCUUUGAUUAUUUUAGGAAGCUGUUUUAUUUAUGUGACAUCCACAUUGUUUAUGUUGUCGACAAUGGAAGGCUUGCCUCAAUGACUUCACUGUUACUAAGUGGACACAGCCGUCCUCCAAGUGGAUUUUUUAAAACGGAGUCUGCACGCUUCCACUGGCUCCCAACCCUUCCAUGGUGCUCCGUCUGCCCCCCAGAAGAUUCGGAUUCCUCAGCCUGGCACCCAAAGUCUUCGGAGAUUUGGUUCCAGCCUUUCUCUUCCCUUGCCUCCCACCUCCCGCCUCCUUGUCCGCUCCCUGCUUUACUUUGCCAGCCCCUAGAUCCUCUUCUCCCUGUGUUCUUUCUCACCAUCAGGACUUUGCUUCUGAGCAUCCUUCACAUUCUUUCACCCUUCCCUCCCCCAGCCCAAACUCUUCCCCCAAUAAAUGGCUGCUCAUCCUUCCAGAAUCUCCCUCGCCCUCUGUAGAUGGAGCCUUCCUCUUUACCCCAUCCCCCAGGAAUGACUGAUCACCCCUUUCUCUGUGUCUCUACAGUUCCCUGCUACAUUACAUAUUGAUGCAAUCUUUUUUUAGUAUAUGCAUCACGAUCUUUAUUAACAAAGCUUUUCCCAUGGGAGUACUUCUCAUCGUUUCUUUACUUGAUUAGUACUGCUGGUUGCCUAUAUUGCUGUGCUGGGUCUACCAUCACAAGUACACAGACUGGGCAACCUAGACAACAGAAACAUAUUUUCUCACAGUUUGGGAAGCUGGGAAG